RNAcentral lists this ribosomal RNA (253 nucleotides) under uncultured bacterium. Its description in RNAcentral is "partial 16S ribosomal RNA". It matches the Rfam family "Bacterial small subunit ribosomal RNA", at positions 524 to 776 of the family's 1533-position model. The record is from RNAcentral.
UACGUCGGGACCGAGCGUUGUCCGGAAUCAUUGGGCGUAAAGAGCGUGUAGGCGGCUAUUUAAGUCCUGCGUGAAAUCCUGCGGCUCAACCGCAGACGGUCGUGGGAAACUGGAUGGCUAGAGUGCGGGAGAGGAGAGUGGAAUUCCCGGUGUAGCGGUGAAAUGCGCAGAUAUCGGGAAGAACACCCGUGGCGAAGGCGGCUCUCUGGAACGCAACUGACGCUGAGACGCGAAAGCGUGGGGAGCAAACAGG